GGAUUGAAACCAGGGACACUCUACUAUUAGGCUAUAUCCUCAGUCCCAUUUUUUUUUCUUUAAUUUUAGGACAAGUUAACCAGGCUGGCCUUGAACUUGCAAUCAUCCUGCUUCAGCCUCCUAAGUUGCUGGGAUCAUAGAUGUGAAGCACCAUGCCUGGUAAGAAGGACUUUUCCACAGAAACUAUGGGCUGCAUCCCAAUCUACAUGUAGGUUGCUUUAAUAAUGUCUUUAUGAGCUCCGUAUCUAAUUAUUUUAUCAACAGAAAUAUUAAGAUUUUGUGAAACUUAUUCUUGCUACACUUUAGCUUCCACACGAUUUGUAGAUAACUAUGAAAAGAAAUCACAAGUUCAUAAUUAUCAAACACAACUGAUCCAUGAUGAAUGGUCCCACCAGGGCAGACCUAGAGCUGAGAGCACAAGGAGACUCUUAGGUGAGUUCCUAAGAUGUUCAGAGGGAUGGUUGGGCUGUCAUGGUGAGACAAAAGGCCAAGCAGGCAAGAAACAGCAGGUGAGAAAAGUGCAUUGCGGGAGGGAGAGACAGGACAGGGGUUUGACUAAAAGUGAAGGAAGAAACUGUUAAACAGGCCGAAAGCCAGCUUUUUCCUGGAGGCCACCCAGCGGACCUCAGAAUGACUAGAAGCAGUGAGCAGCCCUCAGAAGCCUGGCUUGAGGAGCGAAUCAAAGCUCUACCUUUGGGGAUGUCACGGCAGAUGCAGGGAACGAAGCAGAAAAUUGUCACCACAGGAUGGAGGCCAACGGUGUCUGAGCAGGGCUAUGGGGCAGAGACUCCUGACCGGGCAGACAGAGGUUGUCAUGGAGGCAGCAGCAGGACUGUGGUAAGGGUGGCGGGAGGCCAACUCCAUACUGAAUGUGGCCUCUGUCACCUCUCCAGGCACAGAACUGGGAGCGCCCAGGAGAGCUGGAAGCUUUGUUGGAAUGGCCCGCGGUGCUCCAUCAACAAUGGACGGUGCUCAAACACGAGUCGAGCCACAGCUGGGAAGGAGUUUCCCCAACGCGACGACAGCUCCAAAGCAAUCAAUAGUGAAUCAGUUGCAACGGUGGGGUCCUGACUGACCUAAGUAGAAGUCCUUCAAGGAAGGAAGGGGCGAUCUGGUGUAGGCAAGACUCCCGACAGCACGGGGAAGGAAAACUGCGGAGUUCUACGUUCAGCUCAUCGGUGUCCCUGACAUCUCCCUCCCUGCCCUGAUCUCCCGUCAGCUUCUUGGACUCUGGAGCCACCCGUGUUACGCAGCCUCAUGGCGAACUUGCUCUGGAUUCUGCAGAAUACCUAGGUCCCUAGGACAGAGAUGGCAUGACUAGCUACACGAUUCAGUCCUCUUUGGGGGUGGGGUUCUGUCCAGCCUUGUGGGUUCCUGCUGCCUGUGCUUCUGGGGUGCAGGAUUCGAUGGGGAGAAGGACUUUGCAACGAUCGCUGACCCAGGAAUUCCUGUGAUAAGAGCCCAGGCUCACACAAGAGCAUAUGCACAAAUGCACAGAUGUGUGUAUGUAAACGCGUGUGUGUUUAUUUCUUUGCAUGUACACAUACAUGUGAAUAUUUAUAAAAAUACACAAAGUAUACAUGUGGAUUUGACUUCUCUGGUUAAAUCUUCACUAAUACAAUACCUUAUUUUCAC
Long non-coding RNA from Fukomys damarensis (Damara mole-rat), 1635 nucleotides. Lineage: Eukaryota; Metazoa; Chordata; Mammalia; Rodentia; Bathyergidae. The record is from Ensembl.